This is a long non-coding RNA of Canis lupus familiaris (dog), 4542 nucleotides long. RefSeq lists it as uncharacterized. The transcript has 5 exons. Lineage: Eukaryota; Metazoa; Chordata; Mammalia; Carnivora; Canidae. The record is from RefSeq and is a predicted model, not a curated record.
GUAGGGACUGCUGCCCAGAGCUCAGGGGCUGAUUAGACCACAGGGCUGUCACUGCCGCUCCGUAGCCCGAGAAUGUCCAGGAAUGAGAGGAAAUGACCGGAGCAGCACAGAUCUGAAGAGGUUAGAGAGUGAGCCAUGAGUGCUGCUGAGGGAAGAGUGUUUCCAGCCACGGGAACAGAGGCUGCAGUGGGUGCUCAGAUUCGUGAAUGGGGAAGGUGGGCGUUUGCAGCUUUUGGCGGAGAACGAGGGAUGUUAUGCAACCUGUCCUCUGAAUUUCCGCAGCACCACCCCCUCACUGGGGUUCGGGAGGAAGAAAUGGGAGGAUGUGGUUUCUGACUUCUCUGGGUCUCAGUUUUCCCAUCUGUCAAGUGGGGACCCCCACAAGCGCAUGUCAAGUGUCCGGUGGCCAACAUGGUGCACAGCACAGACCACCGUCAGCGUUUCCAUCAUCUCAGAAAGCUCGAGUGGACUGGACUGGUUCAUCUCUAACUCCACUCGGUUGGAAUGAGAAGCCAGGAGCAGUUGAUGAGAUCUCCAGCUCACGCUGACCGUUGGACCCGGAGCCCAGGAAAGAGGAGGAGCCAGGGCUCCAGCUGCAUCGGUGGACCCCUAGCCACUCAGUGGGAAUCGGGGCUGAGUGCGGCGUCUUUGGGAGCAGCACCCUCCCGGGCGGGCAGACAGUACGGAGGGACGCCACAUCUUGCAAAGGUUCUCUGUUGCCCAGCGCUGUGGUGCUGCAGCUUCUGCUUCUGUGGUGCCCGCAGGGUCCCACUCAUCCUGCAUCUUUGCAGUUUUGCAGACGGUAACCCUAUAGCCUUGCUACCCAACACCUCAGACUUCACCCCUCCAGCCACAUGUCCUGGUGCCUGGGUUUGUUUGGGGGAAAUACCUUCCAGGCUACGGGAGGGAAGGGUGGGGAGGGGGGCCUGCUUCACUGCUGAUGCCCCUCUCUCCCCUGCACCCCAUAGACAUGCACAGAGAUGUCUGAGGCCAGGUGGCUGAGUGUGGGGUGUGCAGGACGACUUUGGUGGUAUGGGUGGACAGUGCCGUGCUCCUGAAGGCCGGCCCGUAGAGGGUUGAACAGGACCCUCCAGGAACAUAUGUCCUCCUGGAACCACAGAAUGUGACCUGAUAUGGAAAUAGGGUUUUUGCAAGUGUCCUCCCUUAAAGAUCUUGUAGUGAGACCCUCUAGAUUUGGGAAGACUUUUGACCCAGUGAGAUGUCCUUACAAGGAGGGAGGUGGAGAGACACGCUGAUGAGAAGUUGGCAGGGAGAUGGAGGGAGCCUGGAGCCACCGGGAGCUGGAGAAGGAAGGGAUCUCCCCUGAGCCUCCAGAGGGACACAGCCCCCGACACCUGCUCUCAGAGUGAGAGUGCGUUCCUACUGUUCAGAGCACCCUGGUUUGAGGCACACGGUCACGUCAGUCCCAGGACCCUUGCACAGAACCCCAUGAUCAGUCAACAUUACCUGGACAAGGAUGGCUUGUCACACUUCCUGAGGCCCAACAUUUGGACGACAAAGGAAGAAUGGACCUAGGAGGCUGUGGGGUCUCUCUCCAGGCACCCCCUACCACUUGCCAGUGGUGGAUGGAGGGCAGAGGACAGGGUGCAGGGUGCGUGUGCUCUGCAGGCCUUUCAUUCAGUCUUUGCUACAACUCUGUGGGCACCCCCGCACUCUGAUGAGGACAUUGAGGCCCAGAGAGGCUCCCCAAGGCUUCACAGCUUGUAGGAGGCAAAAUCGGGGAAGCCUCCGGAAGCCCAGCAGCAGAUGGUGGGUUGGGACCAGCGCACGUUGGCAGGCCAGCCUCUCUUGUUGGGGAUUGUGGCCAUCUUUCCAAGACUUCGGGGUGCCUGCUUCUGCUUCCGUGGGGUCCAGUGGAGCUGAGGAAGCAGGAAGGCAGGUGCUGACCAUCUGCUGUCCAGGGAUGCUGUCUAGGUGAGGCCAUUUGGGGGCUGCCCCAGAUCUGUGGAGUGAGACCCCAGGGCAUCUGUGUGCACACGGCAGUUGAAGAAACCCUGGACGUGGGCUGGAUCCCGCGCUCCCAGAAACCAGGCCAACCGGGAGGGACUGCACACUGUUCUCUACCCAGACCCGUGAGCUGAGAUGUCCCUCCUGGCUGGCACCCGUUCCCAGGAAGUUAACCAUCACUUAUAAGAAAUCAGUCACCCAUGCCCUUCCUCCUAUGCUGCUCACGGUGCAGGGAUGGAAGCUUCUGGAACGGGGGGUCCUGGGACAGCUGAGCUUGGGCAAGGCGAGCAGCAGAGCUCUGGGUGUGCCCUUCCCAGGGCAGUGCUGGUCCUCCCUGCAUCCCUUCCCAGUUUGGCCUCUGGGAUGUGGUGGCUCUCGGGCUGGGGUCGCAGAGGGGACCCGUUGGACGCAGAUUCCCCUGCUUUGUCAGGGGCCUCACAGAAUUCGGGCCGAAUGGUCCCAUGAUUUGAUGUGUUUUGUCACCACCCCCCUUCUGUGACACCGAGGACUGUGUGAUACCAAGGACUGUGUGAUACCCCCGGUUUCUAGGAGAUUGAGGGCGUCUGGUGGGCUCGGGGCCUGCAGUGGACUCAGAGUGUGCGGUACUCAGAGGCCCAGGGCCCGGGUGGUGGAGAAGGAUCCUCCGAGCCUUUGUGGGCCUUGGCUCCCUCUGCUAGGGAUGGGGGCCCGCAGCGACGGACGGCCCAGCCGCCUUGCAGGGGUGUCAGGUCUGAAUGGAGAGGAGCCAGAGGUGGCGGGAGUGGCUGAUGGACACACCUGCCCUGGAUGCAGGCACUGCUCUGUGCAGCAAACACGCCCUCUGCUUCCUGUCUGCCCGCACGGCCCUCGGGCAUGUGCUGCCCAAAAGGGAUGCCCACGGUGUCUCCGGACACUUCCACAAUCUUGCUGUCAAAGGGCAGAUGUCUUCAGGCCUUGCUGCUGUGCUUUAAAAAUAUGUCCUUAGUUACAAAGGAAAGGAAAGACAGGAAAGGCCUCUUAAGAAUGGAAGGGAAGCGUGUAUAACACGGGGUCACCAUGCUGGCCACCUGAGCUGGUGUGGUCUAACCUCCUCAGGUGGGAGUACAGGCUUUUUGUGAUCUGACCUGUGUCUUUCUCAGCAGCCUGCUGUCGCCUGAGCUGCAUUGGGCUUAUUAUUAGUUAUAUAUUUUUGAACAGUUGGGUACCUUGUCUUUGCUCGUGCUGUUGCCUUUGCCUGGAGUUCUCUUUCUUUUGUGUUUGACAGACCCCUUCUCAUCCUCCGAGAUGGAUUUACAGAAAGCUAAAGAAUGUCAGCCUUAGGGCCUCUCCUGCACAGCACCUGCCAAGCCCCUCUAUCCCUGGAAAGGGGCCCUAGCAAUGUGUUUGUAUGACAAUGAAUUUUUAAGAAUUUUGCUAAAGUAAGAUGCUUUGCUUGUGCUUGGCUAAACCCACUGGCUCUUCCCGCUCUGAUGCCCUGGCCUUGCACUCCAGCGUCAUGACAGCAGGGGCAGCGGGGAUGUUCCUGGAGGUACCCCCGCCCCACAGAGCCAGCUCCCAGAGCCUUACCCAUACCACACUGACCAUGUACCUCGCUGGCACGUCUGCAGGUGCCCCAGCUCACGUCCACCGUGACCUGAGCCCCAGAUGCAUGCUCCAAGCCUUGCCAUGUGGUUUCAUGGUGUUUUACGGAAUGUAAACAUCUAUUUUGAGAUGGAAGAGGAACUCAAACACUGGUGCAAGAUCCGAAAGUUUAUUUAAAAAGUUAAUAAAGCUCAAGGACACCGUUUUAGCUGCAACUUGGAGAGACGUGUUAGAAUGUUUCCACAAACAAAUGAUAAAUCACAGACUACUGAUCCAGACAGGUACUAAGGUGUUCUGCUGCUGCUGCCGCCUUUCAGUUUAUUAAUUAAAGAACUGAGAGGGCAUUCAAAUAAAAAUAAAUGGAAUAUGGAACAAAAGCUUUAAAGAUGGGGAGCAAAGGAACAGAACCUAAUCUGCAAAGGGGGGAUGAUUUAUACAAUUCAUUAAGAUAAUGAGUUGGUUCUGGGAUGGUUCGAUCAUCCAGCUAAUGAGGAGGAGCAAUUCUGUGAACCCGUUUGGAAAAGAUUCAAAUUUCCUGUUAAUUUGGAAUAAAUACAGAUACUGACAAACACUGUGUCGAAUCUGCAGUGUGCUGCCGCCCAAACACAUCGGUGACAAUGUGGCUAAUAUGUGCUUGCAGUUUAAGAAGCAUCGAAGACAAAUCCUUGCAAAACACACGUUGAAAUGACAUGAAAUCUUACAGUUCACAUAGGAAAGAUCCUUGACAGAAGCUUUCCCAAAUCAAUAGCAAUUGUAAACAUUUACUUGUCUUUAGAAAUAAUGGGAUGUGACGUGAUCACAACAAUGAUUCCUUCUUCUGAUCCUUCGUGCUGGAGGAAAGACUGAUUUAUAUUUAUAUUCUCUCUUCCAAAAAAAAAAAAUUACAUUGCCCACCAACUCAUUGUUGUAUGCAGAGACCAUCAAAGAUUGGGCAUGCAAAAAUAUAAAAGUAUUUUAGACAUAAGACAGGUGUUCUAUUAAUAGAAAUAUCAUGUUCUUUGUCUGAUUUUUGUG